This 4965-nucleotide long non-coding RNA is filed under the name Linum usitatissimum (flax). RNAcentral's name for it is "long non-coding RNA (LUSI_LNC005639)". Lineage: Eukaryota; Viridiplantae; Streptophyta; Magnoliopsida; Malpighiales; Linaceae. The record is from RNAcentral.
UUUUGCUAUAUAUAUUCUUUGUUUCAUGCAGACUAAAACUCAUCCACUCCCCCCAAUUACUAAACCCACUUCUUCCCUCCCCCUUCAUCAUCUUUUCUAUAAAGAUUAGCCCCUUAAUAACCACACACAAUUUGGGGCUUCAGGGGAUCAACUGUGAUCUCCGGUCAACUAAAUGGCGACUUUCGGUGGCCGCCGAAUGGGUUUGCUUUGGCCCCAUUUGGCCGUCGCUGUAGCCUUGUCUAUCUUAGCAUGCAAUGUGGGAUCUGCCGAUGGUGAUGCUGCCUACGUUUACUCCUCUCCUCCUCCGCCGUAUGAGUACAAAUCGCCGCCACCUCCUUCCCCUUCCCCACCUCCUCCUUAUCUUUACAAGUCGCCGCCACCUCCUUCACCGUCUCCUCCUCCUCCUCCUUAUGUGUACAAGUCACCGCCACCUCCUUCACCGUCCCCACCACCACCAUACGUGUACAAGUCGCCACCACCACCUUCCCCGUCUCCGCCACCACCAUAUGAGUACAAGUCGCCGCCACCACCUUCCCCGUCUCCACCACCACCAUAUGAGUACAAAUCUCCUCCUCCACCAUCACCGUCACCUCCCCCCCCUUACCACCACUCCUCUCCACCACCACCUUCGCCAUCUCCUCCUCCACCUUACCACGACUCCUCUCCACCACCACCUUCGCCAUCUCCUCCUCCACCUUACCACGACUCCUCUCCACCACCACCUUCGCCAUCUCCUCCUCCACCUUACCACGACUCCUCUCCACCACCACCUUCGCCAUCUCCUCCUCCACCUUACCACGACUCCUCUCCACCACCACCUUCGCCAUCUCCUCCUCCACCUUACCACGACUCCUCUCCACCACCACCAUAUGAGUACAAAUCUCCUCCUCCACCAUCACCGUCACCUCCCCCACCUUACGAGUACAAGUCUCCUCCUCCUCCUUCACCGUCACCACCGCCACCAUACUACUACAAGUCACCGCCGCCACCAUCACCCUCUCCUCCUCCACCAUACUACUAUAAAUCUCCACCACCACCUUCUCCAUCUCCGCCGCCACCUUACCACUACUCUUCUCCACCACCACCUAAGAAAUCACCUCCACCACCAUACUACUACAAAUCUCCACCACCACCUUCGCCAUCUCCUCCUCCACCUUACCACUACUCCUCUCCACCACCACCUAAAAAAUCACCUCCACCACCAUACUACUAUAAGUCUCCACCACCACCUUCACCAUCUCCUCCACCACCGUACUACUAUAAGUCUCCGCCGCCACCAUCACCCUCUCCUCCACCACCAUACUAUUAUAAAUCCCCACCACCACCUUCACCAUCUCCUCCACCGCCGUACUACUACAAGUCCCCACCACCACCUUCUCCGUCUCCUCCACCACCAUAUUACUACAAAUCUCCACCACCGCCAUCACCAUCACCUCCACCACCAUACUACUACAAAUCUCCACCACCGCCAUCACCAUCACCUCCACCACCAUACUACUACACAUCCCCAAAUCUCCACCACCGCCAUCACCAUCACCUCCACCACCAUACUACUACAAAUCCCCUCCACCUCCGGCGAAAUCUCCCCCACCACCUCCGUACUAUUACAAGUCUCCGCCGCCACCUAAGGCUUACCCUCCUCCUUACCACUACACAUCACCGCCGCCGCCUGCAGUCUAUCCUCAUGAUCUGACUGUCAAGGUUGUCGGAAAAGUGUAUUGCUAUAGAUGUUAUGACUGGGCUUACCCAAAAAAGUCACACGACAAGAAGCACCUUAAAGGUAUAAUAAUUAUUUAAUAACUUCCCGUUAUAUGAAACUUAGUUGUUUUUAAUGCAUGAUAAAUUUAUCAUGUGUCGCUGUACAAAUGCUAGUUCCCACUAAGAAUCAACAUAAAAAUCUCCACCAUAUUUCUGCAUGUUUUGGCAUAUAUGUUGUAGUGGACUUAGUAUUAUUUUGUAUAAUUAAUUAUAAACAAAUUAAAACAGCUCUUUGAUUGUCCCAUUUGCCAAAUUAUUAAAGACCACCAAGUCAGAGUGAUAUUUGGCAAUUGGCAUCUCUGUUUUUUUUUCCUUUUUUUACUUAUUUAAAAAUACUGAAAUACCUACUCAGUGGAAAAUAAUAUGGAAAUGAUUAUUUUAAGGUUGUCAUGUAGUAACGUGCUUGACCACUGACAAAUAAAACUAAACAAAUAUAAUUAGUUAUGGUCUUGUUUUGAGAAAAUUGUGAUGCUGACGUGUGAUGUUGAUUGUCUCUUAACGACUUUUCUCUCCAACAGGAGCCGUGGUGGAAGUAACUUGCAAGGCAGGGGAAAAGGAAAUCAAGGCGUACGGGAAGACCAAAAUCAACGGCAAAUAUAGCAUCACCGUCGACGGAUUCGAGUACGGCAAAUAUGGAGCCAAGGCUUGCACAGCUAAGCUUCACGCGCCGCACAAGGGUUCCAAGUGUAGCAUCCCGACCAAGCUUCACGGCGGAAACAAGGGUGCCGAGCUGAAAGUGAAGUCCAAGGAUUACCACUUGAUUGUGUUGCAGGCUAAGUCGUUUGCUUAUGCUCCUAAGAAGCCUUAUGCAGAGUGUGAGAAGCCUAAGCCAAAACCCACACCUCCUAGUCCUUACUACUACAAGUCCCCACCUCCUCCUCCUCCAGCUUACGUGUACAAGUCCCCGCCACCACCGGCUUACGUGUACAAGUCUCCGCCCCCUCCUUCACCUAAGCCAUACUACUAUAAGUCACCUCCUCCUCCAACUUACGUGUACAAAUCACCUCCACCACCGGCUUACGUGUACAAGUCUCCGCCCCCUCCUUCACCUAAGCCAUACUACUAUAAGUCACCUCCUCCUCCAACUUACGUGUACAAAUCACCUCCACCACCGGCUUACAUGUACAAGUCACCGCCACCCCCUUCACCUAAGCCAUACUACUAUAAGUCACCCCCUCCUCCGACUUACGUGUACAAGUCACCUCCACCACCUGCUUACGUGUACAAGUCACCGCCACCUCCUUCACCUAAGCCAUACUACUACAAGUCACCACCACCACCAUCUCCAUCACCGCCGCCUCCUUACUAUUACAAGUCUCCACCACCACCGUCGCCUAAGCCAUACUACUACAAGUCCCCACCACCACCAUCUCCUUCGCCACCACCACCAUACUACUACAAGUCCCCACCGCCGCCAUCACCUAAGCCAUACUACUAUAAAUCUCCACCACCACCAUCACCUAAGCCAUACUACUACAAGUCUCCCCCUCCACCAUCUCCUUCACCACCACCACCUUACUACUACAAAUCUCCACCACCACCGUCACCUUCCCCACCACCACCUUACUACUACAAAUCCCCACCUCCGCCAUCACCAUCUCCACCACCACCGUACUAUUACAAAUCUCCCCCACCUCCGUCACCAUCACCACCGCCUCCUUCGUACUAGCAAUACCCACCCCCACCAUCCCCAUCACCCCACAACCCCCCCCCCCCCCCCCCCCCCCCCCCACCGCCUCCUUACUACUACAAAUCUCCACCCCCACCAUCCCCAUCACCCCCUCCUCCUUACUACUACAAGUCUCCACCACCACCGUCUCCCUCACCUCCUCCACCAUACUACUACAAGUCUCCACCUCCUCCGUCGCCAUCUCCACCACCACCAUACUACUACAAAUCUCCCACACCACCAUCAUCGUCACCGCCACCUCCUUACCACUACAAGUCUCCCCCACCACCAUCACCAUCUCCACCACCACCAUACUACUACAAGACCCCUCCUCCUCCNNNNNNNNNNNNNNNNNNNNNNNNNNNNNNNNNNNNNNNNNNNNNNNNNNNNNNNNNNNNNNNNNNNNNNNNNNNNNNNNNNNNNNNNNNNCCACCACCACCAUACUACUACAAAUCUCCCCCACCACCAUCUCCCUCACCUCCACCACCGUACUACUACAAGUCUCCACCACCACCAUCACCUUCACCACCACCACCAUACUACUACAAAUCUCCACCACCUCCUUCCCCAUCACCGCCACCUCCUUACCACUACAAGUCUCCCCCACCACCAUCACCAUCUCCACCACCACCAUACUACUACAAGUCCCCUCCUCCUCCCUCACCGUCUCCACCACCACCAUACUACUACAAAUCCCCACCACCACCGUCGUCAUCACCCCCUCCUCCAUACCACUACAGCUCACCUCCCCCACCGGUGAAAUCACCACCACCACCGGCAUACAUCUAUUCAUCUCCCCCACCACCAGCCCACUACUAGGCUCAAACGCCUCGGCAACAAACCACCAAUGUAAGUUUCUAUUACUCCUCUCAAUUCCAUCAAAACGCUAUAGCAAUUCAUUCAUACGUUAUUACAGCUUUCCUAACAGUACUACUUUCCCAUUUCAGAUUUAAGAAUUGACAAUGUAAUAAAAGAAGGCUCCAAUCAUGGUCUGAUAAACCCAAUAUCAUCAAUUAGUGCCAAUAAUAACAACAGCCGAUAUGGCUCAGUAUGCAGAGUUGCGAUCCUGCACAUGGCAAUGUUGCUGUGUUCAUCAUCAUCAAGUGGGGUACUGUUGUUCAAGAAGAGACGACAUUUGGGAAAUUAAGCAACUAUUCUUAGUUAGUUAUCGGAGUUGAUGAUCAAUUGGGUUUUUCAGAGUUAUUUGUUUAGUUGAUGUAUGUAUGUAAAAUCUAUUUGUUAUUUAGUUUUCCAGCUUUGAUUUUUUUGUUGGGGAGGAUUUGGGAAAUGCGUGCGUACUUUUGUUCUUAUAUUAUAUAAAUUAUUAUUAAAUGUUUUAUGUUUGGGGGAAGCAACGUAAAUUUGAUGUAAUUGUAAUUUUUUAUUGGAGCUUCUUGUACUUCAAUUUGUCCCGCCUCCCGAUUGUGAGUAAUCAAGUAAAGCCAUUUCAUAUUUCUAAUUUUUGGUUCAAUUUCGGCCGAAAUUCGCAUUCAAGUCGGAAUUAGUGAUUUCAUCCCAACUAAAAAUGGAUUGAUGAG